Molecule: ribosomal RNA, 618 nt
Filed under: Triticum aestivum (bread wheat)
Lineage: Eukaryota; Viridiplantae; Streptophyta; Magnoliopsida; Poales; Poaceae
Description: partial small subunit ribosomal RNA
Source: RNAcentral
AUGGAAACUAGCAUGCUGCAUGGUACCAAACCGCAUAUGAUCUAUAGAUUUUUCUACCCGAAGGUGGUAGAAACCAGCAUUUCGUUCAAAGAUUUUCGCGAUGCACUCCAUUCCGUGUAUGACUGGAGCUCUGCCGAUGUUGUUGAACUGAAAUAUUUCAAUAGUAGCGAGAAAAGAUUUCUCCCACUAACUUGCGAUGAGCAUCUGGGAUUUCUAUUUAGUUUGAAUGAUGACAGACAUUUCGGUAAAAUCCGUAUCCAGGUGCUUCAGCCACGCAAAGAACGAGACAAGGGGAAGAGUGUUCAUACAUCAUCUGUCUCAGAUAAUAGUGAUCGCGCCGGCACUCCUUGUAGGUCGAGACCAAGUAAACCUAGUUGUUCUCAAAGCCACAACAUGUCUGUUGCACUAGUGCUGCUGAUACGUCCAUUUUGCAUCAUGUUCUUAUGUCGAUAUUUAUUGCAUUAUGGACUGUUAUUCCACUUUAUGAUACAAUUCUUAUGUAUUUUCUCUCUUAUUCUGCAAGUUUCACAUAAAGAGGGAGAUUGUCGACAGUUGGAAUUCUGGACCGGAAAGGGCUAUAUCGGAGGAAUUUUUUUUGAACAUCUUCAAAUGAGCUAA